AUACGUAGGUGGCAAGCGUUGUCCGGAAUUAUUGGGCGUAAAGCGCGCGCAGGUGGUUCCUUAAGUCUGAUGUGAAAGCCCCCGGCUCAACCGGGGAGGGUCAUUGGAAACUGGGGUACUUGAGUGCAGAAGAGGAUAGUGGAAUUCCAAGUGUAGCGGUGAAAUGCGUAGAGAUUUGGAGGAACACCAGUGGCGAAGGCGACUGUCUGGUCUGUAACUGACACUGAGGCGCGAAAGCGUGGGGAGCAAACAGGAUUAGAUGCCCUGGUAGUCCACGCCGUAAACGAUGAGUGCUAAGUGUUGGGGGGUUUCCGCCCCUCAGUGCUGCAGCUAACGCAUUAAGCACUCCGCCUGGGGAGUACGGUCGCAAGACUGAAACUUAAAGGAAUUGACGGGG
RNAcentral lists this ribosomal RNA (397 nucleotides) under uncultured bacterium. RNAcentral's name for it is "partial 16S ribosomal RNA". It matches the Rfam family "Bacterial small subunit ribosomal RNA", at positions 523 to 918 of the family's 1533-position model. The record is from RNAcentral.